UCCCCACCCCACGUCUCCUCCCAUAUGACAGGCUGCACUCGGCCGUGGAGUGCACAGGGCUGCUGGUGGCCAUGGAACUUCAGGACAGACAUUCUCAGGUAGCAGUGCUGGUGGAAAAGAAACCACUUUCUUUGCAUGCAUUCUCCUCUUUCUUUUCCCCUCCUGGCCCUCAGAGCCCACCCACCACUCUGCUCCCCAUGCGGCCUCUGUUGGUCCCACAUCACUUCCCAGCACAGCCCAAGCCAACUGCAAAGACUCAGCAGCCUCGUGCCAAACAUCCCUGCAGUUUUUCCUUUCCCCAGUUUCUUUACUCACUUUCUUACAGAGUAUGAUAAAUUCAUUUUGUCUCUGACCCUGUGUGCUGUUAUUCAGAGGCAAGUCAAGCUCUGUGCCAGACACUGAGUGGGCCAGAAGCCAGAAACAAUGUGCUGCUCACCAAGCAAAUAGAUGUCUCUUCCACAGAGCCACUCAUGUAAAUUGGACAUAGGCAACCACGCUCAGCGAUUCUUGGGCCGGUCCAGCCUCACCAGAUGGUCCAAGGGAGUUGGGAAGUCACUGAGUGCAAACACAAGUCUUGAGCUCUUUCUGUAGCUGUACAGAUGAGUGAUGUGGGCUGGUGCUGUGGCAUUCCCAGCCAGCCAGCUGGUGGAGGUGGUAGACCAGGCACUACUACUUGUACACGCUGGACGGAUCUGCAGGUUUGUACUGGAGCUUUUCAGGCUGUCAUUGGAGACUGGCAGAUGCAUGGAUCUCACAGAAAAGCAGUCUGAAUUUCACACAGUAUGCUCCUGUUUCUUAUUUCCCUUUUCUGCAUUUGAUCACCUUAAUUGCCUGAGUUCUCUCUAGUGCACAGGUAGUGGGAAAGAGUCAGGAUCAUUACCCAUAUGCACUUUAGGUAUUUCUGUUUCAUGCUCCUUCUCUGGCCAGUGGAGAGAUGUGCAAUUGCAGAUGAUUGAAGCUCAGAGACAGCAGCUGUGCCAUUUUCUUGGUUUAUCUGAUGAUUUAUUUACUUUUUUUCCUAUGCCUUGAUUUUGGGUCCAUCUCCAUGGAGAUACAAAGGUAAAGAACUCUUCCCUUAAUUAUAUCACUGCGUUAAGAGUCCCAGGUAGUACCCUACAGGCAGAGUUUUCUGCUAUCAUGAGUGCAGCUAGAUAGACAGCAUUCGGCCUACUGCAGGACAGCAGAGCCUGCCAGCAUGGUUUUGCUUUUUGCUGUAUUGUUUUUCCUGGAAAGGAAUGUUCCUUCCGACUACAGACAGGAAAGUUGCAAAGAUCACACCACGCUGCAUCAGACAUUGGUGGUUCAAUCAGUUGGACAAGUUCCUGUACACUCAAAAUUUCAAGACCUCACGAUUGCUCCAUCACAAAGCCCACAGCUCAGGAAGAGAGAUCUCCAGGUAGCCAGAAUACAUCUCAGAUAUGAUUAGCAGAAGAAGAUGAAUUCAUUAAUUCCUUCAUAUAGAAAGUCAAUUUCAAGAAAACCCGUUCUUAUUUUUAACAGUUCUCUACAAAAAUUCCUGACAUAAAUAAAGGUUCCUGCCAGCUGCAGGCUACAAGUUGAAAUCAAA
This is a long non-coding RNA of Numida meleagris (helmeted guineafowl), 1567 nucleotides long. RefSeq lists it as uncharacterized. Lineage: Eukaryota; Metazoa; Chordata; Aves; Galliformes; Numididae. The transcript is spliced from 2 exons. The record is from RefSeq and is a predicted model, not a curated record.